GGCUCAAGUGAUCCUCUCGCCUUGGCCUCCCAAAGUGUCUGGAUCACAGGCAUGAGUUGCCACACCCGGUCUCCUCAUAUGACAGAGCAAGACAGAGGGAGACUCCAUCUUAAAAAAAAAAAUAAAAAAAGUGGAGAAGGAGAGAAGGGGUCAGGGAGGCAGCCAGGAGGGAAGAGUGAAGUAAGAAGCAGAUGAAGAGAAGCAGGGUGGGCACACACCCAGAGCCCCCCUGUGUCACCCGCCUGCUACCAGACCCAGGAGGGUCCCGUCGGGGUGGGGGUCCUGGGACUUAACUCCUCCUCCAGCCUCAGCCCUCCCGGUGCCAAGAUUCUUCAACGUCCUCGGGAUGCACCUCCGCACUGUGGGGCCAUCUGGGUCAGCCCGGACGCACCGGCCUCUGUCUGGGUCCCAGUCUUCUCACCGCCAGGCGGGCAGGUGAGGCCUCGGUCAUUCCAGGUGCAGCCUCGGAUCAGGGAUGACGGCCCAGGCUGAAGUAUCAUGAUGAAGAGCUUGGACCGAGGGCAGUUAAGGUGUUCUUAUAUGAAGAGGAGAUCAGGACACACACACACACAGAGGCACGACCCUGUGAGGACCCAGGAGGAAGACAGCGUCUGCAAACCAAGGAGACAGGCCUCAGUAGGAACCAGCCCUGCCCACGCCUUGGUCUCGGACUUCAGCCUCCAGGACUGUGAGGGAUGAAUGCCCAUGGCCGGCGUCGCUUGGUGUGUGGCGUUUGUUCCGGCAACCCUGGGAGGCUGGUGCGAUGUCUCUUUGGUCUUACUCUCUCCAUCGAGACCCUCUCGAAGGCCUGUCUGGGUUGAGGAGGGGGCGUGGAAGAUCCUGCCUCCUGGUGGGGAAGGUGUUGGGAGAGUGGUGGUACAGGGGGCGUUGUGGCAGUGGUUUGUGGGCCCCGCCUGCCACACAGCCCCCAUAGAGACUGAGAGUCCCCCAGCAGGUCUGAGGAGAGGGUGA
This 972-nucleotide long non-coding RNA is filed under the name Homo sapiens (human). RNAcentral's name for it is "HSALNT0338939". The record is from RNAcentral. Lineage: Eukaryota; Metazoa; Chordata; Mammalia; Primates; Hominidae.